Molecule: ribosomal RNA, 860 nt
Filed under: Pseudomonas sp. EA_S_45
Lineage: Bacteria; Pseudomonadati; Pseudomonadota; Gammaproteobacteria; Pseudomonadales; Pseudomonadaceae
Description: bacterial SSU rRNA
Rfam family: Bacterial small subunit ribosomal RNA
Source: RNAcentral
GCGGCAGGCCUACACAUGCAAGUCGAGCGGUAGAGAGGUGCUUGCACCUCUUGAGAGCGGCGGACGGGUGAGUAAUGCCUAGGAAUCUGCCUGGUAGUGGGGGAUAACGCUCGGAAACGGACGCUAAUACCGCAUACGUCCUACGGGAGAAAGCAGGGGACCUUCGGGCCUUGCGCUAUCAGAUGAGCCUAGGUCGGAUUAGCUAGUUGGUGAGGUAAUGGCUCACCAAGGCGACGAUCCGUAACUGGUCUGAGAGGAUGAUCAGUCACACUGGAACUGAGACACGGUCCAGACUCCUACGGGAGGCAGCAGUGGGGAAUAUUGGACAAUGGGCGAAAGCCUGAUCCAGCCAUGCCGCGUGUGUGAAGAAGGUCUUCGGAUUGUAAAGCACUUUAAGUUGGGAGGAAGGGCAUUAACCUAAUACGUUAGUGUUUUGACGUUACCGACAGAAUAAGCACCGGCUAACUCUGUGCCAGCAGCCGCGGUAAUACAGAGGGUGCAAGCGUUAAUCGGAAUUACUGGGCGUAAAGCGCGCGUAGGUGGUUCGUUAAGUUGGAUGUGAAAUCCCCGGGCUCAACCUGGGAACUGCAUUCAAAACUGUCGAGCUAGAGUAUGGUAGAGGGUGGUGGAAUUUCCUGUGUAGCGGUGAAAUGCGUAGAUAUAGGAAGGAACACCAGUGGCGAAGGCGACCACCUGGACUGAUACUGACACUGAGGUGCGAAAGCGUGGGGAGCAAACAGGAUUAGAUACCCUGGUAGUCCACGCCGUAAACGAUGUCAACUAGCCGUUGGGAGCCUUGAGCUCUUAGUGGCGCAGCUAACGCAUUAAGUUGACCGCCUGGGGAGUACGGCCGCAAGGUU